Molecule: long non-coding RNA, 906 nt
Organism: Spinacia oleracea (spinach)
Lineage: Eukaryota; Viridiplantae; Streptophyta; Magnoliopsida; Caryophyllales; Amaranthaceae
Exons: 5
Source: RefSeq, a predicted model, not a curated record
UGUAAACUUCAAUUUACUAUUGCAGCAAUAGUGUGCUGCCUAUUUUGCCCCUAACUUUCAACCUUAAUUACUGAAUUUUGCCAUAAUGUUGGAUGAUGCCACAUGUUCCAUCAACCAUCUGCCUUCUUUGUUCCUCUUUGUUUCCCCUUUCCUUUUCCUCGACACUGGGAUCUUCAUCCCCUUCCAUUUUCAAAAAACCCUAGCUCUCCUCUCUACAAUCUCCUCCGCCCCUUCACACAUCUCCUUCCAUCACCCUAGAUUUUAAGAUCGUCAAUGUUCGUUCUUCUUCAAGAGGAUGUUGUUUUAUGGUGAUAGAAGGCCACGUUCGAGGAUUCUGAGAAGGAGUACAACAUUGAUACAUCGGAAGGAUAUUAGAGGGAGCGUUGGGUUCUCACUGAAGAAGGAAGAAUCUAUGCUACUGCAGGCUUUCCUGAAGUGCAAGUAUACCCGGCUAUACCACAAGAGGGUAUCUCGCCAGAUGAACUUGAGGUUGUCGGUUUCUGCUUGCUGUAGAUAUGGUUCUUUCUUCAAUUGCAUAUUAUCAGAAAAUAUUCAAAUAGCAGCUGUUUGACAGAAUCCUGAUCAUAUAGCAGGCUCAGGGUGUGCUGUGAAGAUUUGGUGGAGAUCCACAACUUAAGUCAAUGAUACACUGGGUUUCAGCAUCUCAGGCUACCUUUAAACAUAUCAAUUAUAGGUGUGGGUUUCCUGUUGCGAAAAAGACUUAUUUGAUCAACUAUACUAUCGUCUUCAUGGUGGUUCUCUCGUAUAAUGUCGUCUUCAUGGUGGUUCUCUUAUAACGGCUGCUACGUCAGGAAAACUAGAACAUUUUAAUGGCGUUUUUGAAGGAAAUAAUGCCCUUGGUCCAAGUAUGCAUUCUAUGUUAAGUCUAAUAAAUGCGGUUCAGUA